Long non-coding RNA from Daphnia carinata, 1397 nucleotides. RefSeq lists it as uncharacterized. The transcript is spliced from 7 exons. The record is from RefSeq and is a predicted model, not a curated record. Lineage: Eukaryota; Metazoa; Arthropoda; Branchiopoda; Diplostraca; Daphniidae.
GCGUUACACGCAAAUCAGUAUGCAUAACAGUCGUAGUAUGAUGCCGUAGUAUGGAGUAGUUCGACUUGUGUCAUUGGCUACUAAACACCCACCUGCUAUAAUAGCCUCGUUUUCAUUGGUUCGUUAGAUAACUUAUAUUUGGGCGCGCUUAGACACAUAGGGGCACAUUAGGUCCAUUAUUCGGAUGGACGAAGGAUGUCUUGUUCAUCGAUCCAAGUAUUCGAAACUCCAUUGAGUUUAAGUACGAAAAUAAGUCUUGAAAGACAAGAAAAUCUGAUGAUGAGCUAACCUUGGUGCAAUGUGAACCUGUGGAUGAGCAGUUCGCAAGUGGGAAUUAUGGUGAUGAGGAAUUUACACUGCUAUACCUGUCCCAGCUUCAUCAUGUGCGGAAGAAUUUUCAAGGUUGGCAAAACAUUUUCUGGGUUCGGACCGUUUUAUGUGUUAUCUUUGGCAAUGGGAUAUUGUGAAUGAUUCAUUUGAUGGGAGCCACGUAAAGCAAUACUGAAGUACCACAGGAGAAGCACACAUGCGAAUGCGAGGAUUCCUUGCUGAAAUGUCGAAAAAAAGCGGCAAAUAAUGCAAUUAUUUAACGAUGAUUGGAAUCAUUUGGAACGAGCAAUGUAAAUGGAGGAUUUAUUCCAAUGGUUGACUUCGGCCGUUGCAACUUAGAUUGGUUAUUAUCAACUCUUAUUUUUGGUCUAAAACCAAUUCGCAACAAACUACCCUAACGCAACAAGAUGGUUGAGAACGUUUCUCAGUGAUUUUGCUUUAUGUUAGUUCUGAUCUGUUUUAAUAUUUGCUUUUCUUUGUAAAUGUGUGGAGUUAUUAGCUUUUAAGGUCUAGAUAAAAAUUACACAGAGAUGAGUGUUGAGGGGGUGGUGGAGGGUAGUAGGAUGUAAAUAUGACAUAAUUUGUUCGGCAGAUUGGGGUAGGUGGUGUUAAUCAAUUCUAACUUGCAUGGGGUAAGGUUUGAAUAGGAAGUUGGGUUAAAUUAGUAAAGUUCCUGACUUUACAUUAAUUAAACAUUUUUUCAUGAAGGCGGCAUUAAAAGCCAGCAAAUUCACCGCGAGACAUGUAAAUUCCCUUACAGUAAAAACUUACCAUUGUAAACCCUAAAGACAACCAGCCAUCUCCUUGUUUUAAUUUGCUUUUUGCAUAGUAUCUUCCUGUGCGAGAGAAAACUAAAAAGUUGUAUCUUAAUUUGAAUUCGCCGCCCAUUUUGAAAUAUGUGGCAACGUUGUUUGAGUUUUUUGAACCGCUAUUAGUCAUCAUUUGCUAGUUCAUUGUCGUGUGUGAAACAUGUGGUUUGCAUCUGACGGGCGAAAUAUUGGACACAUCAGGAAGAAUUGGUGAAGUAAUAUUUCAGUGAAUGUUUCAUCAAGAAAACCUUGUUAACC